RNAcentral lists this ribosomal RNA (497 nucleotides) under uncultured bacterium. RNAcentral's name for it is "partial 16S ribosomal RNA". It matches the Rfam family "Bacterial small subunit ribosomal RNA", at positions 28 to 507 of the family's 1533-position model. The record is from RNAcentral.
GAUGAACGCUGGCGGCGUGCCUAAUACAUGCAAGUCGAGCGAACGGACGAGGAGCUUGCUUCUCUGAUGUUAGCGGCGGACGGGUGAGUAACACGUGGAUAACCUACCUAUAAGACUGGGAUAACUUCGGGAAACCGGAGCUAAUACCGGAUAAUAUUUUGAACCGCAUGGUUCAAUAGUGAAAGACGGUUUUGCUGUCACUUAUAGAUGGAUCCGCGCUGCAUUAGCUAGUUGGUAAGGUAACGGCUUACCAAGGCAACGAUGCGUAGCCGACCUGAGAGGGUGAUCGGCCACACUGGAACUGAGACACGGUCCAGACUCCUACGGGAGGCAGCAGUAGGGAAUCUUCCGCAAUGGGCGAAAGCUUGACGGAGCAACGCCGCGUGAGUGAUGAAGGUCUUCGGAUCGUAAAACUCUGUUAUUAGGGAAGAACAAAUGUGUAAGUAACUAUGCACAUCUUGACGGUACCUAAUCAGAAAGCCACGGCUAACUACGUG